ACGAACGUUGAUGGCGUGCCUCAUACAUGCAAGUCGAGCGGGUAGCAAUACCAGCGGCGGACGGGUGAGUAACACGUAAAGAAUCUGCCCUAAGGUGGGGAAUAACUAUCCCAACGGAUAGCUAAUACCGCAUAAGGAUGGAGGUGGCAUCACCUCUUCUCGAAAGAUUUAUCGCCUUAGGAUGACUUUGCGUCCCAUUAGCUUGUUGGCGGUGUAACGGACCACCAAGGCGACGAUGGGUAUCCGGCCUGAGAGGGUGUACGGACACAUUGGGACUGAGAUACGGCCCAGACUCCUACGGGAGGCAGCAGUAGGGAAUUUUGCGCAAUGGAGGAAACUCUGACGCAGCAACGCCAUGUGUGGGAUGAAGCAUUUCGGUGUGUAAACCACUGUCAGCAGGGAAUAAAUGGCCGCUUCGGCGGCAGUUGAAUGUACCUGCAAAGGAAGCCCCGGCUAACUUCGU
This 463-nucleotide ribosomal RNA is filed under the name uncultured bacterium. RNAcentral's name for it is "bacterial SSU rRNA". It matches the Rfam family "Bacterial small subunit ribosomal RNA", at positions 29 to 506 of the family's 1533-position model. The record is from RNAcentral.